RNAcentral lists this microRNA precursor (72 nucleotides) under Sarcoptes scabiei. RNAcentral describes it as "Platynereis dumerilii (Dumeril's clam worm) U5 spliceosomal RNA". It matches the Rfam family "mir-2 microRNA precursor family". From Rfam's summary of the family: The miRNAs are transcribed as ~70nt precursors (modelled here) and subsequently processed by the Dicer enzyme to give a ~22nt product. In this case the mature sequence comes from the 3' arm of the precursor. The record is from Rfam by way of RNAcentral. Lineage: Eukaryota; Metazoa; Arthropoda; Arachnida; Sarcoptiformes; Sarcoptidae.
CUGCUUAUCAAAGUGGUAGUGAUCUGUUUUUAUUAGCGAUUAAUCAUAUCACAGCCACUUUGAUUAGUGGUC